GUUUGAUCCCUGGGUAGGGAAGAUUCCCUGGAGAAGGGAAUGGCAACCCACUCCAGUAUUCUUGCCUGGAGAAUUUCAUGGACAGAGGAGUCUGGCGGGCUAUAGUCCAAGGGAUUGCAAAGAGUCUGACAUGACUGAGCGACUAACCCUUUCAUUUUCACUUUCCAGGUUAGAUGGUCUACUAUUACCUACUUACCCUCAUGGAUCAAGGUCUAUACUAUGUUGUAACUGAUGAAUGCCUUCCGUGUGCCCAGCAGGGACACCCAGUAAGUUGACCAGCUGGAGUAAGUUGGGAGUAGAGAGGUAAGCCGUGCAGCACGUGGGAUCUUAGUUUCUCGAACAGGGAUUGAACCCAAACCCAAGCAUUGGAAGCACAGAGUCCCAACCACUGGAGUGCCAGAGAAGUUCCUAAGUGCCAUCUUUCUUUGAGCCUCCCAAUUGGACUUCACAGUAUUUGCUCUCUCCUUCAGGAUCUAGAAUAUCUUCGUACCUUUCUCAGCAUAGUUCACAGUACCCCCCCACACACACACACGUGUGUGUGUGUGUGUGUGUGUGUGUGUGUGUGUAUCAAGUGGGAAAAAGAGGAUGCCUGGAGGGAUGCUUGGUGAGGGAUGGAGCCUGAACAGGGUGGGGAGGGCUCGAUGACUGGGAUGAGGAC
This is a long non-coding RNA of Bos taurus (domestic cattle), 658 nucleotides long. The record is from Ensembl. NCBI's taxonomy places the organism in Eukaryota, Metazoa, Chordata, Mammalia, Artiodactyla, Bovidae.